Molecule: ribosomal RNA, 400 nt
Filed under: phytoplankton environmental sample
Lineage: Eukaryota
Description: partial small subunit ribosomal RNA
Rfam family: Eukaryotic small subunit ribosomal RNA
Source: RNAcentral
AGCUCCAAUAGCGUAUAUUAAAGUUGUUGCAGUUAAAAAGCUCGUAGUUGGAUUUGGGACUGGAGUCGUUCGGUCGGCCGCAAGGUCUGUUACUGAACGGCUCUGUCAUCACAUUCCCAGAGACCUGCCGUGUACUUAACUGUGCGCGGUACGGGAUUUGGGACGUUUACUUUGAAAAAAUUAGAGUGUUCAAAGCAGGCUAACAUAGCCCGAAUACAUGAGCAUGGAAUAAUGGAAUAGGACUACGGUUCUAUUUUGUUGGUUUUCGGAACAUGAAGUAAUGAUUAAGAGGGACAGACGGGGGCAUUCGUAUUGCGGUGGGAGAGGUGAAAUUCUUGGAUCAUCGCAAGACGCCCUACAGCGAAAGCAUUUGCCAAGAAUGUUUCCAUUAAUCAAGAAC